Molecule: ribosomal RNA, 207 nt
Filed under: uncultured bacterium
Lineage: Bacteria
Description: partial 16S ribosomal RNA
Rfam family: Bacterial small subunit ribosomal RNA
Source: RNAcentral
CGCGUAGGCGGACUUUCAAGUCGGAUGUGAAAACUGUCGGCUCAACCGGCAGCCUGCAUUCGAUACUGUUAGUCUUGAGUACAGGAGAGGAGAGUGGAAUUCCAGGUGUAGCGGUGAAAUGCGUAGAUAUCUGGAAGAACACCAGUAGCGAAGGCGGCUCUCUGGACUGAUACUGACGCUAAAGCGCGAAGGCUUGGGGAGCAAACA